Non-coding RNA from Doryrhamphus excisus (bluestripe pipefish), 2402 nucleotides. The record is from RefSeq and is a predicted model, not a curated record. Lineage: Eukaryota; Metazoa; Chordata; Actinopteri; Syngnathiformes; Syngnathidae.
CUUUGUUUUCUUCUAUCGUGCUCAGCUUUGAAUGGCUCUGUGCAGACCUGUCGCAGUCCCCAAAAUUAAAACAACUUAAGAGUCAGAUGACCAUUGAAUUUUGUGCUGGAAACGAUCAUGAAGUUUCAGAAUUUAACUUGGCAGCCACGGCGUCGAGCUAAACUACCUGCUGUAUUAGUACAGACAAUCUAUUCAGAUGUCUUCUGUGCAUGUGGAUUGUAUCAUCCAUCUACCACCAUAGCCGCCUCCUCCUCGGAUCACCUCAUCUCCAUCAUCCAUCCACGCUUCAGCUUCACUCCACCAGUCAUCUCUUGAAUUCAUUGUUCCUGUCUUCAAAGGACUAGACGCCAAGCUCAAGAUGUAUAAGCAUUGUGCUUAUACUGCCAUCUGGUGGUGACAAGAUGAACCAGCUGACCACAGGAGACGACUGAACAUUCGUCCACUGUACUGUAUGUAGUUCAUAAACAUUUGCUGUGCUGCUUAAUCAAGCAGAUAAUGAGCAGUAAGAUUUGAGCUUGUCUCUCUGGAGGGUGUGUGUAUCAUGUAUUCGUGUGUGUAGAGCGAGAGAGAGAGAGAGAGAGAGAGAGAGAGGGGGUAUAAAUAUUUAUGGCAAGCAAACAGAUCAAUGGCUAUUAAAAAGGUCAAGGGCGGAUGAUGAUGGGUGCUGGGUGUUUGUAUUGAUAAAAUUUGGAACAUCAUAAUGAAUUACAAAAGUACACACACACAGUCUAAUUGAGUGAAAGGAGCUCAUCCUAGCACUUUUUUUUGCCAAAAUGUCCUCAUAAAAGGUGGGUAGUCAUACACACACACACACACACAAUCAAUACAGGUACAAAAUGAGCGCAACUAAGUUAUUGAUCAUGCUGGAUGUGUCAUAAUGAAUAGUAUAGGAUUUGCGGUGAUGCAAGCAAAACCAUCCAAUAUAGCGAUGAAUAAUUCCACACUCUGCAUUAAUGCUAUAAGGGAGUUGAACCAUGUGAUCUCUCCCGGCUAAUCAAUGAGGAAUGGUCAUGAUCAAUGGAAAUGGUGAUUAAAUAUAGUAAAACAAAUAUAUAUUAUACUGAUUCAUCAUUAUAAUCAACCUAUAUGUAAUUUUUUGCAGUGAUUAUGGUGGUCUGCGGACUCAUAAAAACGUAUGACUCAAAAAUGAGCUGAAAUUAAAUUGAAAUUGUCCUUUGUAGAAAUAUGGUUCAAAUCACCGCAUACGCAACGAGCCAAUUACCUGCGAGUACGGUUAUACUUACAAAGUCAAAUGGUGGUGAACCACUGUGUUGAUAUUACAGAAGAGUGUUACAUAACCCCCAAACUAUUUUCACGUCUCUUUAAAGCGCCGAUCAUUAUGAAUGUGGAAUAAUUGCAUCACAAACAAGGAACGAGCCAAUUAAUAUCCAUCUGAUUGCAUUUUAUUCGCCCUUAUUCCAGAAUGAUAUACCUCGCAAUCAGACAUAAUAGCAAGAUGCCAAAUCAUUCAGGCUGGAUAUUUGUGAUUUGAAAUUAAAAUAAUCUAUAAAGAUGACGUCUUGGACCUGCAUGCAUUACAUUGUCUUUACACUUCUAAAUAUUGGGAAAAUAUCAAUAUAUAACUUUGAUUGAACACUACAAUGUAAACCCUUCAGUGUGUAAAAUGCAGUUCACACACGUUUCCACCUUCCUGAUUUCUUAUUUUUGUCAGAUUGUCAAAUUUAAAUAUUCGCCAGUCAAUAACACAACUGAACACAAAAAAAUCAAAAUCUACAAAGUCCUGUGGUGUGGAGUUUUUUGCCUCCCAUAAUAAGUUUCAUAAAAUAAAAUAAACAACAUUUUGUGUUCAGUUGUGUUGUCAUGCAAUAAUAAUGUAAUUAUAUUUCUAUUUGUUUGAUGAUCUGAAACAUUUGAGUGUGACAAAAAAAUCUGAAAUCAUGAAGGGGGCAAACUCCCACACUGUAUAUACAUAUACACAUAUAUGUAUAUAUAUGUGUGUGAUACACACACACACGCAUAUACAGAGGAUUAUGGAAAGAGAUAUACAAUCUGGCAUUACCAAUCUGGCAAUACAAACCUAUUUUUUGGUCAGAAGGGGUCUCGGAGUGAACUCCCACCAUGUUGAUCAGCUAAUAAUAAUAAUAGUCAGAAUCGAUAGAAGCUGGGGGUUAGAAGAAUGUCUCCCUGCACAGUGGACAAGUGGACUUGUUGCUGGAUGUGAACCAUUUGUACUGGAGAUAGGACAGAGAUAAUACAAUAUUAUUAAAACACAGAAUGGAGUAUAUGUUUUGUGUAGUUAAAAUCAAUACAUCUCUCAUUUAAAACCAUCAGUGUUGAUAUGUACGUAACGUUCAAAUACCUGCGAGGAAUUUUAAAGUGCUGAGACAUUCAAUUCAAUGCGGUUGUGUUGCACCAAACCACAUAAUAAAAAGACAACUUAC